Molecule: ribosomal RNA, 403 nt
Filed under: Verrucomicrobiota bacterium
Lineage: Bacteria; Pseudomonadati; Verrucomicrobiota
Description: Verrucomicrobia bacterium partial 16S ribosomal RNA
Rfam family: Bacterial small subunit ribosomal RNA
Source: RNAcentral
UGGGGAAUUUUGCACAAUGGGGGAAACCCUGAUGCAGCGACGCCGCGUGAUUUAGAAGGCCUUCGGGUUGUAAAAAUCUUUUUUAUGGGAUGAAAAUGACAGUACCAUAAGAAUAAGCAUCGGCUAACUCCGUGCCAGCAGCCGCGGUAAUACGGGGGAUGCGAGCGUUAUCCGGAAUUAUUGGGUUUAAAGGGUGCGCAGGUGGCUAAUCAGGUCAGUGGUGAAAAGCUAUGGCUCAACCAUGGUCUUGCCAUUGAAACCGUAUAGCUAGAGAGGAGACGAGGUAGGCGGAAUGUGUGGUGUAGCGGUGAAAUGCAUAGAUAUCACACAGAACUCCGAUUGCGAAGGCAGCUUACCAGGCUUUAUCUGACACUUAGGCACGACAGCGUGGGGAUCAAACAGG